Molecule: transfer RNA, 68 nt
Filed under: Marmota monax (woodchuck)
Lineage: Eukaryota; Metazoa; Chordata; Mammalia; Rodentia; Sciuridae
Description: tRNA.Ala
Rfam family: tRNA (bases 5-65)
About the family: Transfer RNA (tRNA) molecules are approximately 80 nucleotides in length. Their secondary structure includes four short double-helical elements and three loops (D, anti-codon, and T loops). Further hydrogen bonds mediate the characteristic L-shaped molecular structure. tRNAs have two regions of fundamental functional importance: the anti-codon, which is responsible for specific mRNA codon recognition, and the 3' end, to which the tRNAs corresponding amino acid is attached (by aminoacyl-tRNA synthetases). tRNAs cope with the degeneracy of the genetic code in two manners: having more than one tRNA (with a specific anti-codon) for a particular amino acid; and 'wobble' base-pairing, i.e. permitting non-standard base-pairing at the 3rd anti-codon position.
Source: RNAcentral
GGAUUGUGGCUCAACGGUAGAGCGCUCACCUAGCAUGUGCGGGGCCCUGGGUUCGAUUCUCAGUACCA